AUUCGAUUAGAGUUUGAUCAUGGCUCAGGACGAACGCUGGCGGCGUGCUUGAUACAUGCAAGUCAAGGAGAACAUUAUCUUCGGAUAAUAAGUAAACUGGCGAACGGGUGAGUAACGCGUAAACAACUUGCCUCAGAGAUUGGGACAACAUUGGGAAACCAGUGCUAAUACCAAAUAAUGCAGCGGGCUCUUCGGAGCACAGUUGUUAAAGUAGGCUUCGGCUUACACUUUGAGAUAGGUUUGCGUCCGAUUAGUUAGUUGGUAGGGUAAAAGCCUACCAAGACCAAGAUCGGUAGCUGGUCUGAGAGGAUGAUCAGCCACACUGGAAUUGAGAUACGGUCCAGACUCCUACGGGAGGCAGCAGUAAGGAAUUUUGCACAAUGGGCGAAAGCCUGAUGCAGCAACGCCGCGUGAACGAUGAAGUUUUUAGGAAUGUAAAGUUCUGUCGUAUGGGAAGAAAUCUUUCGAAUGUUAAUACCAUUCGUUAAUGACGGUACCAUACAAGAAAGCACCGGCUAACUUCGUGCCAGCAGCCGCGGUAAGACGGAGGAUGCAAGUGUUAUCCGGAAUCACUGGGCGUAAAGCGUCUGUAGGUGGUUUGAUAAGUCAACUGUUAAAUCUUGAGGCUCAACUUCAAAAUCGCAGUCGAAACUAUUAGACUAGAGUAUAGUAGAGGUAAAGGGAAUUUCCAGUGGAGCGGUGAAAUGCGUAGAUAUUGGAAAGAACACCGAUGGCGAAAGCACUUUACUGGGCUAUUACUAACACUCAGAGACGAAAGCUAGGGUAGCAAAUGGGAUUAGAUACCCCAGUAGUCCUAGCCGUAAACUAUGGAUACUAGAUGUUGAACAGAUCGACCUGUGCAGUAUCAAAGCUAACGCGUUAAGUAUCCCGCCUGGGAAGUAUGCACGCAAGUGUGAAACUCAAAGGAAUUGACGGGGGCCCGCACAAGCGGUGGAGCAUGUGGUUUAAUUCGAUGCAACGCGAAGAACCUUACCAGGGUUUGACAUGAUACGAAUUUCUUUGAAAGAAGAAAGUGCCGUUUGGAGCGUAUACACAGGUGGUGCAUGGCUGUCGUCAGCUCGUGUCGUGAGAUGUUGGGUUAAGUCCCGCAACGAGCGCAACCCUCACUUUUAGUUGCCAUCAUUAAGUUGGGCACUCUGAAAGAACUGCCAGUGAUAAGCUGGAGGAAGGUGGGGAUGACGUCAAGUCCUCAUGGCCCUUACGUGUUGGGCUACACACGUGCUACAAUGGUAUCUACAACAGGAAGCAAGACUGCGAGGUCAAGCAAAUCCUUAAAAGAUACCUCAGUUCGGAUUGCACUCUGCAACUCGAGUGCAUGAAGCUGGAAUUACUAGUAAUCGUGGAUCAGCGUGCCACGGUGAAUGCGUUCCCGGGUCUUGUAGACA
Molecule: ribosomal RNA, 1406 nt
Filed under: uncultured bacterium
Lineage: Bacteria
Description: partial 16S ribosomal RNA
Rfam family: Bacterial small subunit ribosomal RNA
Source: RNAcentral